UACAGAGGUCCCGAGCGUUGUUCGGAUUCACUGGGCGUAAAGGGUGCGUAGGUGGCAUGGUAAGUUUGAUGUGAAAGCUCAGGGCUCAACCCUGAAAUGGCAUUGAAUACUACUGUGCUGGAGGUUUGGAGGGGGGACUGGAAUUCUUGGUGUAGCAGUGAAAUGCGUAGAUAUCAAGAGGAACACCAGUGGCGAAGGCGAGUCCCUGGACAACACCUGACACUGAGGCGCGAAAGCGUGGGUAGCAAACAGG
This 253-nucleotide ribosomal RNA is filed under the name uncultured bacterium. Its description in RNAcentral is "partial 16S ribosomal RNA". It matches the Rfam family "Bacterial small subunit ribosomal RNA", at positions 524 to 776 of the family's 1533-position model. The record is from RNAcentral.